UGCAACUGUGUCAAAUUGAGUGCCUGCCUUACCCAUGGUAGGUACUGGCACAGAAGACUGCUACAGAAACACUAUGGCUCCUGGGCCCUGUUCCUGUGUCAAGGAUAAAUUUGGUUGCAGACAGCA
This is a small nucleolar RNA of Nycticebus coucang (slow loris), 126 nucleotides long. RefSeq annotates it as small nucleolar RNA SNORA5. The record is from RefSeq and is a predicted model, not a curated record. Lineage: Eukaryota; Metazoa; Chordata; Mammalia; Primates; Lorisidae. The transcript has a single exon.